GUAGUCCACGCCCUAAACGAUGAGUGCUGGGUGUCCGGCGUUUGCCGGGUGCCGAAGCUAACGCGUUAAGCACUCCGCCUGGGAAGUACGGUCGCAAGACUGAAACUCAAAGGAAUUGACGGGGGCCCGCACAAGCGGUGGAGCAUGUGGUUUAAUUCGAAGGAACGCGAAGAACCUUACCAGGCCUUGACAUCCUAGGAACCCUGAUGAAAGUCGGGGGUGCCCGCAAGGGAACCUAGAGACAGGUGCUGCAUGGCUGUCGUCAGCUCGUGUCGUGAGAUGUUGGGUUAAGUCCCGCAACGAGCGCAACCCUUGUCCUUAGUUGCUAACGGGUAAGCCGAGCUCUCUAGGGAGACUGCCCGCGAAAGCGGGAGGAAGGCGGGGAUGACGUCUAGUCCGCAUGGCCCUUACGGCCUGGGCGACACACGUGCUACAAUGCCCGGCACAGAGCGCUGCCACAUCGCAAGAUGGAGCUAAUCGCCUAAAUCCGGGCUCAGUUCGGAUUGGGGUCUGCAAACCGACCCCAUGAAACUGGAAUCGCUAGUAAUCGCGGAUCAGCCAUGCCGCGGUGAAUACGUUCCCGGGCCUUGUACACACCGCCCGUC
Molecule: ribosomal RNA, 605 nt
Filed under: uncultured bacterium
Lineage: Bacteria
Description: bacterial SSU rRNA
Rfam family: Bacterial small subunit ribosomal RNA
Source: RNAcentral